This 803-nucleotide long non-coding RNA is filed under the name Phasianus colchicus (ring-necked pheasant). Its description in RNAcentral is "lncRNA (ENSPCLG00000015071.1)". The record is from RNAcentral. Lineage: Eukaryota; Metazoa; Chordata; Aves; Galliformes; Phasianidae.
UGCACGAUGGCGGAGGGGCGGACGCCGCACGCAGCGCCGGCACAGAGAGCUCUGGCGGCGUCGGCUCGGCGUCGGCUCGGUGUCGCAGCCCCACGGAGGCCCCGCUGGCGCAGCCCCACAGCGACCUUCAGCCCCACAACAACCCUCAGCUCCACAUCGACCCUCAGCCCCCUGGCGACCUUCAGCCCCACAGCAACUCUCAGCCCCACAUCAGCUCUCAGCCCCACAACGACCUUCAGCCCCACAGCGACCCUCAGCCCCCACUCGCGGAGCCCCACAGCGACAGCGAUGGGGGCACAGAGGUGGAACGGGCAGCCAAUGCACAGCCCGUGUGUAGGGCAGAGCCCCCCUGUGGGGCAGAGCCCAUCUGUGGGGUCGGCAGUGUGGGGCUGCCCCACAUCCCGAGCGCCAUGGGGCCGCAGAUGGCAGCGGAGCUCAGCGCCGUGCUGGGGGGGGACGCUGAGCUGCUGCAGGUAAUGCUGGAAUGGCCCUGCGACCCACACCAAAGCCACCCCAAUCCACCCCAAAUCGCCCCAACCCACCCCAAUUCCCUCCGAUUCACCUCAAAUUGCCCCAGUCCAACUCAAUCCACCCCCAAAUCCACCCCAAUUCACCCCAAAUCGCCCCAAUCCACCCCAAUUCACCCCAAAUCCCCUCAGUUCACCCAAAUCGCCCCAACCCACCCCAGUUCCCUCCGAUUCACACCAAAUUGCCCCAAUUCAACUCAAUCCACCCCAAAUCCACCCCAAUUCCCUCCAAUCCACCCCAAAUCGCCCCAAUCCACCUCAGUUCACCCUAAAUUC